GUGGGGAAAAUUGGACAAUGGGCGCAAGCCUGAUCCAGCCAUGCCGCGUGUGUGAAGAAGGCCUUUUGGUUGUAAAGCACUUUAAGUGAGGAGGAGGCUACUGAGAUUAAUACUCUUGGAUAGUGGACGUUACUCGCAGAAUAAGCACCGGCUAACUCUGUGCCAGCAGCCGCGGUAAUACAGAGGGUGCGAGCGUUAAUCGGAUUUACUGGGCGUAAAGCGUGCGUAGGCGGCUUUUUAAGUCGGAUGUGAAAUCCCUGAGCUUAACUUAGGAAUUGCAUUCGAUACUGGGAAGCUAGAGUAUGGGAGAGGAUGGUAGAAUUCCAGGUGUAGCGGUGAAAUGCGUAGAGAUCUGGAGGAAUACCGAUGGCGAAGGCAGCCAUCUGGCCUAAUACUGACGCUGAGGUACGAAAGCAUGGGGAGCAAACAGGAUUAGAAACCCCUGUAGUCC
This 451-nucleotide ribosomal RNA is filed under the name uncultured bacterium. RNAcentral's name for it is "partial 16S ribosomal RNA". It matches the Rfam family "Bacterial small subunit ribosomal RNA", at positions 354 to 796 of the family's 1533-position model. The record is from RNAcentral.